This 72-nucleotide transfer RNA is filed under the name Microcoleus sp. FACHB-672. RNAcentral's name for it is "tRNA-Asn". It matches the Rfam family "tRNA". Rfam says of the family: Transfer RNA (tRNA) molecules are approximately 80 nucleotides in length. RNAcentral also lists the same sequence under 6 other names. The record is from RNAcentral. Lineage: Bacteria; Bacillati; Cyanobacteriota; Cyanophyceae; Oscillatoriales; Microcoleaceae.
UCCUCGGUAGCUCAGUGGUAGAGCGGUCGGCUGUUAACCGAUUGGUCGCUGGUUCGAAUCCGGCCCGGGGAG